Alligator mississippiensis (American alligator) is the source of this 2219-nucleotide long non-coding RNA. RefSeq lists it as uncharacterized. NCBI's taxonomy places the organism in Eukaryota, Metazoa, Chordata, Crocodylia, Alligatoridae. The record is from RefSeq and is a predicted model, not a curated record. The transcript has 4 exons.
UACUUCGGUGGUGCGGGUUGUCCGAUGCAAGCCUUAAGUGCAAGCGCAAAGCCCCAUCAUCCCGCGCACUGCUCAGCGACCAGAGCCGCAUCCGAGGCUUUUGCAGCCGGCGCUGAGACGCUCCCGAGCCGUAGCGAGCUGGUUCCCGGGCCAGCGAGACUCUCCUCUGCCUCCUGGGCAGGCGCAGUUAGAGAGGGGGCAUCUCCAGCAGACCAACACCUUGAAAGGACCUUGCAGGGCUCCCGGGCUCCGUUUCCCCCUCCACUCGUGAUUAGCAGGUACCGGCGCCGCCUGCUUCUCCUGCUCAGCCUCUGAGCGCACAUGGAGCCCGCGGCAUCUGCUUCCCCGGCAGCACCAGCGGCAGCAGCGGGGGCUCCUCAUCUCCCAGCAGAUCCAGCUGCCCCGACUGGGGCAGAAGCUGUUCCCACAGAGCAAGGACUCUCCCCACCACUCAUCAGAAUGAUUUCCUUGGGCCAUCCACUCAGGCUUUGCCCUGUCUCUGCCAAGACUUUGCUGCUGCUUCCCCCUGCUUGCCUGGAGUCUUGCCAUAGGAGGGGUUGCUUCUGGCUGCUUGGGGCUCUUUGGAGGACGGAGCUGAUACACGACCCCUGCAGGGGUCAGACUUAAAGUAGAGGAUCAUCCAGCAGGUUUUCCAGCUGAACAGCAUGCUCUGUCCAGCUACCACGCUACAUGUAUAUUACUAAAGCUGGUUAGCAACCACGUAUAAAGUUACCACACUAACCUGGGGGUGCAUCUCUGGGGGUUGAUUUCAGGCUUGAACAACGGUUCCUGCUUUGCUGGCCAGAUCAUCAUCCAGUGGCCAAUGGAAGCAGCUGCCCAAUGUGUGGAUGGAGCAGCAGCUUGUGCAGGUGCCAGUAUCCCCACACAGCUAGAGGCCCAGAGUGAAGCUGAGACCAGAGAUAUGGAGGUGGAGGAGAUGGGAGAACAGGAAGAUGAGAAGAUGGAUGUAGACUAGAGCAGUGGUUCACAGCAUUUUUGAUCCUGCAGCGUCCUAUCGGCUCAUUGCAGAGCCCCAUGACCACCUCCCCUUGGCCUCAAGCACGGCCCUAUCGCCUGCCUCCAUGGAGACCGGCUCCCCACAUUACACACGCCUCUUCCCAGUCAUUUCAGGACUUGGAAUAUCAUGGAUUUCCACUGAUGUAUUUUUGUAAUAUAUACUUUUGUAAUGUAUGUUUGCACCUCCAUUCAUAUCUUUGCCCCUCAGUAAAAACUGAGUAAACUCCGGAUGUGGGUUUGUGGGUUUGAAAGUGGACCUGUCAGACUCAUUUAGAUACAGGGUGACUAGAUAUUCUUCAGGAGUUUUGUUGAUCUGAUUCAGGUUGGGCUUGGGCACCUGUAACUAGCACUGGCCUGUCAAAGGCCAAUGGGAUGAGAGGUCAGCCUUAAUGCCCACAUUGCCCCAUGCUGGUGCAGGACCCUUUCACUACCAGCUGAAGCACCUUGCAUGGGGGGAUUCUUAGGGAAAUGACUGCAUUCACUUCAUAGACUGGGCAGAGCCAACGGUUCAAAGGGGCCUGAACAUAGUAGAGCAUCAAUGCUUCCACUGCCAACAAAGUUCAAAUUAGGCUCCCACAACAUUUAGAUGCUUUUUGAAAUUUUAAUUUAGGACUGGUUAAAUGUAGUUAAGAGCUUUAUUUUUUAAAUCACAUGAAGCAUUUUUUUUACUGUUAAACUGUUGCUGAGAAGUUGUUGAGUUUCUGAUUUUUAUACACCAAAGUUGUGCCUUUUGUCAGUUCUUUUUUGUAAAACUUUGUUGCCAAUGUUAUUAAACCUGCUGGUUCAGUGAAAGCCAGUCUUUUGGUCUAUAAAACAUUUUUAAAAAAGAAUUUCAAUUAAUGUUUUGAAAAAGUUCCAUUUCCAAAAGACAGAAAGAGUUUCAUUUAGAACACAAGGACCUGGGGCAUCUUUCAUGACAGUUGGAUUUUGGUUAUUGCCUGUUGUAAACUGUAUUACACUUACGUGCUAAAAUAUUUUAUUUUUUUAUUGGGGAUACACAUUACAUCUGUAAUUUUGACUACACUUAACUAGUGUGAGGAGUGUCCUCUGUUAUCAUGCAUGUACUAGUGAUUGUUGGAUUGGGGCAUUAGUAUUUGUAUGAAAUAAAGUUGGAAAUAUGGCUAUUAUAUGUCCUGCUGCUUUAUAAUACUGGAGGACAGGAGUGGGAGAUGUAAGUCAAAUCUUUUAAGCAGUGAAUAAAA